UAUUUAGAAUGAAAAUGAUGAACAAUUUGCGUCAUUGAUAAUCAUAUGACUUGUGAUGCUCUCGCCCUUGCCAAGCCCCUGUCUCUUUGUAUGUCGCGAGAUUGAACUUCGUUUCUUAUUAUUUCUUCUUCUGGUGCUCAACUAUUGGCAAUGCUAUGUUGUCUACUUUGUAUGCAGGAAUUUCCAUCUUCUAGUGACAGGCAUGACGUAUUGAACGCACUUUUCCAUUUAUAUGGACAUUGUAAUUGCGUUAACUGUUGUCAUUGGUGAUUCUCAGCAACUCUCUACUCUUGUGUUGGUGAAAAGUUCUUUUUGGACUGUUAAGAUUGCCUUCCAUUCUUUCUAGCCAUGGCAAGAACGUCCCUUGUGUGGUUGAUAUCCACAAACCUUUUGAUCAACGUUAGAGUAUAUCUCGGAGACGUUGGAUUCAAUUAUAUAUCCGCGUCUUUGGUCGCAUGGGUGGAGCAUUGGGUGCAAUUUGUCUGGAAAUUAAAAUCUACACUCUUAAUGAGUCUCUACGCUUCUCUUGGCCAAAAGUGCAGAUUGCAUUGCAAAGCUCUGCACAUAUAUCUAAUGUCACAGCGGGAAUGUGAAGAGAGAAUGUCCCUCAAAUGGUAAUUAAGUCCUUAUCGAAGAAGUUCAAUCUGAGCGGUUCACUGAAACGAGACAAAUAGCAGUUACAUUAGGACCACCAAAGGCAUCGUAUAGUGCAAUCUGGGUAUAUUCAGUCUAAUUAUGCAAUUCUAUACUUAGACUUGUCUUUGAUCAUUACGAAUUUCAAGCACACUUCAAGGUUUUGUGCUUCAAAGCCUCCUUCCGUGAAUAACCUAUAGAAGGGUUUGAACUGUAAGGGUGAGAGCAAGAGUGAGAGAAAUGGCAACCCACUACACGUCACCCUAAUGAACCAUCAGCUUCAUCACCCUCGCCGCAGGACCGAGCAUAACCACCUUCUCGAACAACACCGGUUCCACCGACCGAAAAAAUCACUGGAAGGUUAACGUUCGAAUCCCUCGGUUUUGUCGACCCAGCCUAAAUCCAAGUUUAUCUUAAAAAAAUAUCCUCUGAUAAAUGGUGAAUGUACAAACGACUGUCUGAUGGACGAUAGUGUCUCAUUUAGAGGACAAAGGACAAGAGAAAGGAUGCAAGAACUCGAUCGAGGGACAACCAGCACCCUCAUUGGCUAGACCCUAGUCCCACGCCGGACACUGGCCGCGUAAAAAAUUAUUCGUGAUCACACUUGCCCUUGCCAGCGCGCCUGAACGAGAUGAUGGCUAGAAUUUGCGCACCCCAAAUAUAACGUUACGGACACAACUUUGCCCAUGAGCAAGAGUUGCAUGCUGAAGCGUGCUGUUUCAACAAUUCUGAGUGAACUCAGCGCAGGAAAAUCAACAAAUUGCCAUCAUUCCCCUUCCAUUAGAUACUUUUCGCACAAAAGCAGGUUGAGUCCCAUUACACAGGUCCAAUCCCGCCUGAUCUUAAGUGGCCAGCUGCAAGCCAUUCCGACUAGUUUGCCACGCCCAGCUUUUCUACCCCAUGACUCAGUCCUAAGGCACACUCUUGAGCCCGUAUGUGAGGCUUCGGCUUCCUUGGCCACACAGACUGCAUGACUUGCAUGUGCCUACGGUGAUCUCCAAACUCGGAUUUCCUCCCGGAUUCUUGCAAGCUCUUCCUACCUCACUCUUUAUUUACUGAUCCAAGUGCGAUCCUGAAUUGUAGUGUGUGCCGCAGCAGGAGCUAGGUUACAAAAACAAUCCUAAGAACUCUUGUAGAAGCGGCAACAGAACCCAUAAAAGAGCUGCAAUCCGUUAUGGGUGGUUGCUUGUCGAGGCA
RNAcentral lists this long non-coding RNA (1830 nucleotides) under Physcomitrium patens. RNAcentral's name for it is "long non-coding RNA (PPAT_LNC012814)". The record is from RNAcentral. Lineage: Eukaryota; Viridiplantae; Streptophyta; Bryopsida; Funariales; Funariaceae.